This 229-nucleotide long non-coding RNA is filed under the name Lathyrus oleraceus (garden pea). RNAcentral's name for it is "Pisum sativum (pea) long non-coding RNA (PSAT_LNC026079)". Lineage: Eukaryota; Viridiplantae; Streptophyta; Magnoliopsida; Fabales; Fabaceae. The record is from RNAcentral.
GAAGGUCCAUUCGUGGUCAAGAAGGUUUUCUCUGGCGGAGCCUUGUUGUUGACGACCAUGGAUGGCGAGGAUGUUCCAUCCCUUGUGAAUACGAACGCAGUUAAAAAUUACUUCGUAUAAAAGACCCGCUGGACGAAAAGAAUAAAAUAGUCCAGGCAAAAAUGGGCAUCCCGGCGAACCAAAAAAAUGAAAAAAGGUUCGGGCAAAAAUUAGGGAUAAAAAGGAAAAA